Salvia splendens (bonfire salvia) is the source of this 1956-nucleotide long non-coding RNA. RefSeq lists it as uncharacterized. The transcript is spliced from 2 exons. The record is from RefSeq and is a predicted model, not a curated record. NCBI's taxonomy places the organism in Eukaryota, Viridiplantae, Streptophyta, Magnoliopsida, Lamiales, Lamiaceae.
GAUUUAAAUAUUGAAAUACAUUAGAAUACUUACUUUGAUUAAUAGAAGUCCAAUUUAAUAAUUUAUUGAACAUUAUGUUAACAUGACUAACAUUUUCCUUUCUUCCGUGGCUUAAGGAAUUAAAUUUGAUAGUCUCAAAUUCAUCUUAGGCGGUGGCCCAAACGAAUUAAUUUAGAUAGUAGUGACUCAAUUUAAUUUAUAGAAGAGGCCCAAAUUAAUUGGGUUUACCUAAACAGGCCCAUUUUAAUUAAAGCAAAUAAUGGCCCAAAACUAAACAUACACUCCCUCCCACCGUCAGCUUCUCUUCCCAAUUCUUCCUCGCAUUCCAAAAUUCCCAAAAUGGAACUAAAUCCCUAACUUCUCUUUUCUUUCCAAAAUCCCGAAGUCAGCAUUUAGAAUUGGGGAAGGCAGAUCCCUAGUUGAAACCAGCACAUCAGUGGCGAACCCUUCGGUUUGGAGUGAGGAGCAGCGGCGGUUCCCUCUCCGUCGAGUUUCUCUCACUCCCGUGAAUUUACCGUCAAUCACCAAGUUUAUCGGAUGUCUCUUCCGGCGCCACCGAUGUGUCGGCCCUCUCUCUCCGGCGAACCCGUCGUAGCCACCGCCCCUUUUCUCGCGGCGGGUGGUCAUCGCCGGCGUGUUGGCCUCUCGCCCUUGCUCCCAGCUGCUCGUCGCCGACCUCCACUUCGCGUGGAUGUUGCGAGCAGCAGCUUCCCCCGUUGCCGCUAUCUCGCGCUGUUGCUGCUGGUCUAUUCCGGCAUCGGCAUCGCCGCCGUUCUGUUCCUUUACGGUUCAGUCCCCAUUUCCGAAAGCUAAGUUCAUUUCCUUUAUUCCUCUAAGCUUGGUUUAUUACUCGUGGGUUAUGGGCAGUCGUUAGGUGUGUGCAUUCCUGAGCAGUACCAAAGCUUCCCCCCAAAUCCAUGUCUGCUCUUUUCUUUUUUUGCUACUGCUAUGGUUAAUGCUCCGCUGUUUAAUGGCCUACUUCUUAUGCUUGUUAUGGUGUGAGAUCUAGAAGCAUGCUCCUAUUUAUAAAUGUUGCAUUUCUCGGCUUUUGAUAUGCUAACUCUAUGGUUGUCUAAGUAUGCUUCUAAAUUCUAAGUUCUUGACUGCCCAUGGUAUGUUCUAAUGAUGCAGAGGGUGUGUAGUUUUUACUGUUUCCUCCCAUUCACUUUAUCAAGAUUUGAAAUGAGCUCUAACAUGCUUGAGGCUACAUGAUGCUAGUAUGGUUUUGAUUUACCUCUUGUGACUGAUGAGCGAGGUUGCUCUAAUUCCCGGUCACCGAGAGCUCCGCUCCCUCUCUAUGCGCGGCUGGAGAUUUGGUGUGUGUGUUGGGAGAAAAACUUGUUGCAUAUAAGGGAGGAUUUUAUAGGCUCUCUUGUGUACCUGGAGCUUGUUAGCACUCUUAACAGAUGAAUCUCUUGUGUAAUCGUGAAUUAAUUGUGGCUGCUCCCUACUCAAUUGGCAGUCCACUGCAGCAUCUUUCUCCCUCCCCUUUUUCGACAACCAUACUGACUUGGGUACGGUUUUGUAGGUGGAACUGGAGCAGACGUGGUUGGCUGGAGUGUGGGGCGCUGCUGCAGCCUUGGCUGCAGAGUGCAGUCCGCAGCUGCAGGGUUGCUUUGCCAUCUAUCUUUCCUAUUUUGGCACUAACAUAGCUUUCAUUUAAAAGUGAUGCACAAGCACUAACUAGCUGAGAUCUCGCGACGUGGUGUUUGGUCCUUGGCCCCACGACCGACCGAGACACUGCUUGGGGCGCGGUUUAACUUCGACAAAAAGGGCACAAGCUUAUCUCCUUUCAAGACCUUGUACCUCUAUACUUGUAACUUACUCUCUUUAGUGUCUUGUAAUGAAAUUUGUUCGCGACGAAUUUAUGUUCUAUAUUUCAUUUCUUGUACUAAUUCGAUACGCUCCCUUUGGAAGGAAAUAAAAACGUGUGUACUCUCUUUGCCGUUCGUCUUA